This 107-nucleotide small nuclear RNA is filed under the name Salvator merianae (Argentine black and white tegu). The record is from RNAcentral. Lineage: Eukaryota; Metazoa; Chordata; Lepidosauria; Squamata; Teiidae.
GUGCUCACUUCAGCAGCACAUAGACUAAAACUGAAAUGAUACAGAGAAGAUUAGCAUGACCUCUGUACAAGGAUGGCACGCAAAUUCAUGAAGCGUUCCAUACUUUU